UCCGAGUUGACCCCGGCAGUCUCCUACGAGUCCCCACCAUAACGUGCUGGCAACAUAGGACGAGGGUUGCGCUCGUUGCGGGACUUAACCCAACAUCUCACGACACGAGCUGACGACAGCCAUGCACCACCUGUGCACGGCCCUUACGGACCCGACAUCUCUGCCGGAUUUCCGUGCAUGUCAAGCCCAGGUAAGGUUCUUCGCGUUGCAUCGAAUUAAUCCGCAUGCUCCGCCGCUUGUGCGGGCCCCCGUCAAUUCCUUUGAGUUUCACCCUUGCGGGCGUACUCCCCAGGUGGAUGACUUAACGCUUUCGCUUGGACGCUAAGAGUAUAUCCCUAACAUCGAGUCAUCAUCGUUUACGGCCAGGACUAC
This 372-nucleotide unclassified non-coding RNA is filed under the name uncultured Actinomycetes bacterium. RNAcentral describes it as "uncultured actinobacterium contains 16S-23S intergenic spacer region". Lineage: Bacteria; Bacillati; Actinomycetota; Actinomycetes. The record is from RNAcentral.